UAACGAGUAACUGAACAGGUUGUAGCUGGCUUUCGGGGCAUGUGAGCCUGGCUCAUCCACUCUUCAACCUCUGUGACUUGUUGUAGGUCGGCGAAGGGUCACUGUGUAAACGCUGACUUGGAACCCUUCCUAUGUUUUACUACAAACGCUUCGUACGAAUGUAAUCUCUGCGUAUAACGCAUUUAUAUACAACUUUCAGCAACGGAUCUCUUGCGGCCGCAUCGAUCAAGAACGCAGCGAAAUGCGAUAAGUAAUGCGAAUUGCAGAAUCCGGAAUGGAAUCUUGCACGCACCUUGCGCUCCCUGGUAUUCCGGGGAGCAUGCCUGUUUGAGUGUCAUGGUAUUCUCAACCUUCAUAACUUUUUUGUUAUCGAAGGUUGGACUUGGAGGUUUGUGCUGGCUUACUCCUUUAAGCCGCUCCUCUUAAAUGUAUUAGCGUGAGUGUAACGGAUCGCUUCGGGUGAUAAUUAUCUGCGCCGUGGCGUGAAGUAACAUAAGCUUGCGCUUCUAACCGACCUUCAGUUGGACAAUACACUUUGACAUCUGACCUCAAAUCAGGAGGACUACCCG
This 569-nucleotide ribosomal RNA is filed under the name Phanerochaete sp. 3 RG-2014. RNAcentral's name for it is "eukaryotic LSU rRNA". The stretch from base 191 to 337 matches the Rfam family "5.8S ribosomal RNA". Lineage: Eukaryota; Fungi; Basidiomycota; Agaricomycetes; Polyporales; Phanerochaetaceae. The record is from RNAcentral.